CCUCCCGCGACGCCGGAACCCGGCGCGGGCGAAGGCGGGCGCGUUACCCAGGGGACCCCGCGAUGUCAGUCUCGACCCGGAAGCACUAGUAGAAGUUCCGGUCACAGGCUCUCUUUAGAGUCCGGUCCUUCUUGGCGCGCCUACUCUUUCUACACGGAGACCCAGGAGGUUGCGAGGCUCCAGCCCCCCAAGGCUUCUAGGGCUCCGGCCGCUUCCGAGGGUGUCAGUGGGAGGCCUGCGGGCGGUGGGUGAAGGGCUGGCCCGGGCGGCAGGGCUGGGCGGGCGACCCUUCCUCCCGAGGGCCCGUGCUUGGGUGGCCAGGCCUCGGGUGGAGGGUCGCGGGUCUUGGAGGCCUGGGGCGGUGCCUGAGGGGACGAAGGGAUUAGCGCUCGCGCUGGUGCGUUGUCCCCAGCCCACGUCCGGCAGCGAGAUGCCGUUUGCCUGUGUCGCAAAGCGUCGGCUUGUGGUCAUUCCUCUCCAGGCCUCACGGAGUCAAAGCCUCCGGGAAAAAUUCAUCAUGACACUUGUCCCAUAUCCCUGCUCUACCUCACUUUCACCAGGACCAGUGCAAGAACUCCUGUGGUCCUGGGUGGGGACAGGCUGGGACACUUGGAGCGACCAAUGGCUACACCCAACGCAAACCUGCUCAGACAGAGGCUGCCAAUGGUUUUGAUGCCUGGCGAGAGGACCCUGUGGUUCCAUAUCAACUAGGACCAAUAUUGCCACCUCAUCCCCUGAGUGGGCGACAUGAUUCCGUGCCCUACCUGCCCCGCUCCCAGGCUGGCAGCUCCAGGAUGUCCUGUCUCUGCAGGCUACGGCACCACACUUUGAAGGAAGAAGGAAUUUCCCAGGCAACAGCUUGUUUCUCACUGGCCCUGCCUGGACUACUUGUCCAUCCCCUGGACACUGACUGGCCAGAGAAGAAAAAACUGCUGGCCCAGUCAUGACACCCAGGCCUGCAUGAAGGGAAGCAGGUCUGUGGCCAGAGGGGGGAAGGCACUGGGAAUAUAGCCUAUGGUACUUUGCCACAUCUCCACGUUCCUGUAUCAACAAAAAGAAAAAAGAAAAGGCAGCUCCCCCACAGCAGCACAUUGUGCACAUAGCUUGAUCCCACACAGCGAAGGGCUCUUUGUAUGUGCCAGUGUCUAUUCAGCAGCUAUCCAGUGAUGCGCACAUAGCAGCCCCUUUACCAAGUGCAGAAAAAGACUCAGCCCCACACCACCAACUCCAUGAUCUAGUGGCCAUCAUCAGACCUGGUGACAAGGGUGAGGAGGAGAGGCCUCUUAGGAGGCUGGGGUAGUAACGAGCCAGAAGAGAUGCUGGCCUGCAGUGAGGACGGAGAAAAGUGGGCAGAUCGAAGGACUGUCAACUGGUAGUUGGCCAGGAUUUCAUGGGGCUGGAGGUGGGUGUUGACGCCAAGGAAGGGACCCAGAAUGACUUCCAGGGGACUGCUGGCAAAGGAUGGAGGAUAGCAUCACCACAGGACCUGGCGUGAGCACAGGAGGAAUGGAGGGAAGGUGGGCAUUGCCAGAUACGGGCAGAAGUCAUCAGCAAGCACAGGACAACCGCUACCAUGGCCUGAAGAGCUUUUUUGGAGCAGAGGAUGUGAGAAAAGCUCUGGCGGGCAGAGAGCAGGUGAGGGCGCAGUGAUGGGGAGGAGGGUAGGAAGUGGCCCUUGGGGGUCAAGAACCCCGGAUUUUGGUUCUGGGAGAUGGCUUCGGUGAGCUGCCUGAGCAUAGUAGGGCCGGUUACAGAGCUUGUCAGGAGGUGACGGCUGGGGAACAAUGCAGUGGAGAGGAAGGCGAGCGGAUCCCAGCUCUGGAGGGAGCUCAAGAUGUAAAGGAGAAGUACCGUGAUUAUCCAAUCACUGUACUGUACAUCGAAGCCAGUGUAAUACUGCAAUAUUCCAAUAAACAUAUUCCAAUAAGACAUA
Molecule: long non-coding RNA, 1933 nt
Organism: Manis javanica (Malayan pangolin)
Lineage: Eukaryota; Metazoa; Chordata; Mammalia; Pholidota; Manidae
Source: RefSeq, a predicted model, not a curated record